UACGGAAGGUGCAAGCGUUAGUCGGAAUUAUUGGGCGUAAAGGGUGCGUAGGCGGAAAAAUAAGUCGGACGUGAAAUUCUGAGGCUUAACCUCAGAGCUGCAUCCGAAACUGUUUUUCUCGAGGAAUGGCGGAGAAGACGGAAUUCCAUGUGUAGCGGUGAAAUGCGUAGAUAUAUGGAAGAACACCUGUGGCGAAAGCGGUCUUCUAGCCUCAUCCUGACGCUGAGGCACGAAAGCAAGGGGAGCAAACAGG
RNAcentral lists this ribosomal RNA (253 nucleotides) under uncultured prokaryote. RNAcentral's name for it is "partial 16S ribosomal RNA". It matches the Rfam family "Bacterial small subunit ribosomal RNA", at positions 524 to 776 of the family's 1533-position model. The record is from RNAcentral.